Molecule: ribosomal RNA, 262 nt
Filed under: uncultured bacterium
Lineage: Bacteria
Description: partial 16S ribosomal RNA
Rfam family: Bacterial small subunit ribosomal RNA
Source: RNAcentral
AAUGAACGCUGGCGGCAGGCCUAACACAUGCAAGUCGAACGCCGUAGCAAUACGGAGUGGCAGACGGGUGAGUAACACGUGGGAACGUACCCUUCGGUUCGGAAUAACUCAGGGAAACUUGAGCUAAUACCGGAUACGUCCGAGAGGAGAAAGAUUUAUCGCCGAGGGAUCGGCCCGCGUCUGAUUAGCUUGUUGGUGAGGUAACGGCUCACCAAGGCGACGAUCAGUAGCUGGCUGAGAGGAUGAUCAGCCACAUUGGGAC